This 342-nucleotide ribosomal RNA is filed under the name Lenitovena trigona. RNAcentral describes it as "partial 16S ribosomal RNA". Lineage: Eukaryota; Metazoa; Arthropoda; Insecta; Diptera; Tephritidae. The record is from RNAcentral.
GGCCGCAGUAUUUUAACUGUGCAAAGGUAGCAUAAUCAUUAGUCUUUUAAUUGAAGGCUGGAAUGAAUGGUUGGACGAGGUAUAAACUGUUUCAUGUAAAUUUAUUGUAGAAUUUUAUUUUUUAGUUAAAAAGCUAAAAUUUUAUUAAAAGACGAGAAGACCCUAUAAAUCUUUAUAAUUUAUUCUUCUUAAGUUUUUUGGAUUAAUUUUAUUUUUGUAGAAUAAAUUAUUUUGUUGGGGUGAUGUUAAAAUUUAAAAAACUUUUAAAGUUUAAAAUCAUUAAUUUAUGAAUUAUUGAUCCGUUAAUAGUGAUUAUUAGAUUAAGUUACUUUAGGGAUAACA